AUACAUAGGGGGCGAGCGUUGUCCGGAAUGACUGGGCGUAAAGGGAGUGUAGGCGGUUAUGCAAGUUACAUGUGAAAGCCCGAGGCUUAACCUCGGAACUGCAUGUAAAACUACAUAACUUGAGUGUGGGAGAGGAAAGUGGAAUUCCUAGUGUAGCGGUGGAAUGCGUAGAUAUUAGGAGGAACACCAGCGGCGAAGGCGGCUUUCUGGACCAUAACUGACGCUGAGGCUCGAAAGCGUGGGGAGCAAACAGGAUUAGAUACCCUGGUAGUCCACGCCGUAAACGAUGGAUACUAGACGCAGGAGGUAUCGACUCCUACUGUGUCUGAAGCUAACGCAAUAAGUAUCCCGCCUGGGGAGUACGGCCGCAAGGUUGAA
This 378-nucleotide ribosomal RNA is filed under the name uncultured bacterium. Its description in RNAcentral is "bacterial SSU rRNA". It matches the Rfam family "Bacterial small subunit ribosomal RNA", at positions 523 to 898 of the family's 1533-position model. The record is from RNAcentral.